GACGAACGCUGGCGGCGUGCUUAACACAUGCAAGUCGAGCGGUAAGGCCCUUUCGGGGGUACACGAGCGGCGAACGGGUGAGUAACACGUGGGUGACCUGCCCUUAGCUCUGGGAUAAGCCUGGGAAACUGGGUCUAAUACCGGAUAUGACUCCAUGACGCAUGUUGUGGGGUGGAAAGCCUUGUGCGGCUAGGGAUGGGCCCGCGGCCUAUCAGCUUGUUGGUGGGGUGAUGGCCUACCAAGGCGACGACGGGUAGCCGGCCUGAGAGGGCGACCGGCCACACUGGGACUGAGACACGGCCCAGACUCCUACGGGAGGCAGCAGUGGGGAAUCUUGCGCAAUGGCCGAAAGGCUGACGCAGCGACGCCGCGUGGGGAGGAAGGCCUU
This 388-nucleotide ribosomal RNA is filed under the name uncultured bacterium. Its description in RNAcentral is "bacterial SSU rRNA". It matches the Rfam family "Bacterial small subunit ribosomal RNA", at positions 28 to 418 of the family's 1533-position model. The record is from RNAcentral.